Molecule: ribosomal RNA, 440 nt
Filed under: uncultured bacterium
Lineage: Bacteria
Description: partial 16S ribosomal RNA
Rfam family: Bacterial small subunit ribosomal RNA
Source: RNAcentral
CCUACGGGUGGCAGCAGUAGGGAAUAUUGCUCAAUGGGGGAAACCCUGAAGCAGCAACGCCGCGUGGAGGAUGAAGGUUUUCGGAUUGUAAACUCCUUUUGUUAGAGAAGAUAAUGACGGUAUCUAACGAAUAAGCACCGGCUAACUCCGUGCCAGCAGCCGCGGUAAUACGGAGGGUGCAAGCGUUACUCGGAAUCACUGGGCGUAAAGAGCGCGUAGGCGGGAUAGCAAGUCAGAUGUGAAAUCCUAUGGCUUAACCAUAGAACUGCAUUUGAAACUGUUAUUCUAGAGUAUGGGAGAGGUAGGUGGAAUUCUUGGGGUAGGGGUGAAAUGCGUAGAGAUCAAGAGGAAUACUCAUUGCGAAGGCGACCUGCUAGAACAUAACUGACGCUGAUGCGCGAAAGCGUGGGGAGCAAACAGGAUUAGAUACCCCAGUAGUC